AUUGAACUCUGGCGGCAGGCCUAACACAUGCAAGUCGAGCGAGCGGCGGACGGGUGAGUAAUGUAUGGGGACUGCCCGAUAGAGGGGGAUAACUACUGGAAACGGUGGCUAAUACCGCAUACUAUCGGAUAACCCAUAUGGGAUUAGCUAGUAGGUGGGGUAAAGGCUCUCCUAGGCGACGAUCUCUAGCUGGUCCGAGAGGAUGAUCAGCCCCAAUGAGACUGAAACACGGCCCAGACUCCUACGGAGGCAGGAGUGGGGAAUAUUGCACAAUGGGCACAAGCCUGAUGCAGCCAAGCCGCGUGUGUGAAGAAGGCCUUAGGGUUGUAAAGUACUUUCAGCGGGGAGGCGUUACCCGCAGAAAAAGCACCGGCUAACUCCGUGCCAGCAGCCGCGGUAAUAC
RNAcentral lists this ribosomal RNA (403 nucleotides) under uncultured bacterium. RNAcentral's name for it is "partial 16S ribosomal RNA". It matches the Rfam family "Bacterial small subunit ribosomal RNA", at positions 30 to 526 of the family's 1533-position model. The record is from RNAcentral.